GUAGGUGGCAAGCGUUGUCCGGAAUUAUUGGGCGUAAAGCGCGCGCAGGCGGUUCUUUAAGUCUGAUGUGAAAGCCCACGGCUCAACCGUGGAGGGUCAUUGGAAACUGGAGAACUUGAGUACAGAAGAGGAAAGCGGAAUUCCACGUGUAGCGGUGAAAUGCGUAGAGAUGUGGAGGAACACCAGUGGCGAAGGCGGCUUUCUGGUCUGUGACUGACGCUGAGGCGCGAAAGCGUGGGGGAGCAAACAGGAUUAGAUACCCUGGUAGUCCACGCCGUAAACGAUGAGUGCUAAGUGUUAGGGGGUUUCCGCCCCUUAGUGCUGCAGCUAACGCAUUAAGCACUCCGCCUGGGAGUACGGCCGCAAGGCUG
Molecule: ribosomal RNA, 371 nt
Filed under: uncultured organism
Description: partial 16S ribosomal RNA
Rfam family: Bacterial small subunit ribosomal RNA
Source: RNAcentral